Molecule: ribosomal RNA, 253 nt
Filed under: uncultured bacterium
Lineage: Bacteria
Description: partial 16S ribosomal RNA
Rfam family: Bacterial small subunit ribosomal RNA
Source: RNAcentral
GACGGAAGGUGCAAGCGUUGCCCGGAAUUACUGGGCGUAAAGCGUAUGCAGGCGGAUCGUUAAGUCGGGGGUGAAAUCCCGAGGCUCAACCUCGGAACUGCCUUCGAUACUGGCGAUCUUGAGUCCGGGAGAGGUGAGUGGAACUCCGAGUGUAGAGGUGAAAUUCGUAGAUAUUCGGAAGAACACCAGUGGCGAAGGCGACUACCUGGCCCAUUCUUGACGCUGAGGCGCGAAAGCUAGGGGAGCGAACGGG